Molecule: non-coding RNA, 87 nt
Organism: Corylus avellana
Lineage: Eukaryota; Viridiplantae; Streptophyta; Magnoliopsida; Fagales; Betulaceae
Source: RefSeq, a predicted model, not a curated record
UGUUGGAUGAUGAGAAAAAUCAGAUGGAUUCCCAUUGAUAUUUUGUUUGACAACAUGUGACAUCAUAUCCACCUACUUCUCACAACA